Long non-coding RNA from Drosophila pseudoobscura, 728 nucleotides. RefSeq lists it as uncharacterized. Lineage: Eukaryota; Metazoa; Arthropoda; Insecta; Diptera; Drosophilidae. The transcript is spliced from 2 exons. The record is from RefSeq and is a predicted model, not a curated record.
GCUUUCUGCUUUUGGCAGCUUCUUCUUCGUCUUUAUAUUCUGCCCAUUCUUCUUUUGCUUCGUUUUUGCAAACGUCAACGUCAGUUCAGUUGGCAAUGUGCCCAGACGACGCGCACGACAUCAACGAAACGAAACGAAAUGAAACGAAACAAGUUUUUCUGCUGCGGCGCUGCUGCUGCGCAUACGUCACAAUCAUAAGGCAGAGACAGAGGCAGAGGCAGAGGCAGUGUCAGCGAUAGUGGCGGUUUGCAUGCAACCAAGUGAGAGAGUGCGAGGGAGAGCGCGGCAAAUUGCAGUUGCUGGUCCGAGCCGGUUUCUCCUUCUCGCUCGUUCGUCUUUCGGCUGCUUUUCGUUUUAUUUUUUGCAUGCAUGCCAUGUAAUACUGUAUUCGUUUUAGUUUUCUACUCGAACCGACACACACGCACACGCACACAUUUUGCGUGCCUAUGGAACCAUAUUCCCGCGAUCGACAAAUUCGCACUACACCCCAGCAGCCCCAGCAAUGAUUCACAAUUUACACUUGGACUACGGAUUACGGAUUACGGAUUACAGAUGCAGAUACAGAUACAGUUAUGGGGGAGAAUCGGGGCCACACAUCAUAAACAAAAUUCAAUAUUUAUACAUAUUCGUAUGGGAAUAAAAAGAAACCAUAUUGUGUAUAAUCUGUUAAGUACAUAUGUACAUACAUAUGUAUUGUAUGUAAAAGAAAUAAACUAUUUGCCAUUGUA